This 328-nucleotide unclassified non-coding RNA is filed under the name soil metagenome. RNAcentral describes it as "partial contains 5.8S ribosomal RNA, internal transcribed spacer 2, and large subunit ribosomal RNA". The stretch from base 1 to 120 matches the Rfam family "5.8S ribosomal RNA", at positions 35 to 154 of the family's 154-position model. The record is from RNAcentral.
GAUGAAGAACGUAGCGAAAUGCGAUAAGUAAUGUGAAUUGCAGAAUUCAGUGAAUCAUCGAAUCUUUGAACGCACAUUGCGCCCUCUGGUAUUCCGGGGGGCAUGCCUGUUCGAGCGUCAUUAUAACCACUCAAGCUCUCGCUUGGUAUUGGGGUUCGCGGUUUCGCGGCCCCUAAAAUCAGUGGCGGUGCCUGUCGGCUCUACGCGUAGUAAUACUUCUCGCGAUUGAGUUCGAUAGGUCUACUUGCCAGUAACCCCCAAUUUUUACAGGUUGACCUCGGAUCAGGUAGGGAUACCCGCUGAACUUAAGCAUAUCAAUAAGCGGAGG